GCCUACGGGGCGCAGCAGUAGGGAAUCUUCCACAAUGGGCGAAAGCCUGAUGGAGCAACGCCGCGUGGGUGAAGAAGGUCUUCGGAUCGUAAAACCCUGUUGUUAGAGAAGAAAGUGCAUGAGAGUAACUGUUCACGUUUCGACGGUAUCUAACCGGAAAGCCACGGCUAACUACGUGCCAGGAGCCGCGGUAAUACGUAGGUGGUAAGCGUUAUCCGGAUUUAUUGGGCGUAAAGGGAACGCAUGCGGUCUUUUAAGUCUUAUGUGAAAGCCUUCGGCUUAACCGGACUAGUG
RNAcentral lists this ribosomal RNA (294 nucleotides) under uncultured bacterium. Its description in RNAcentral is "partial 16S ribosomal RNA". It matches the Rfam family "Bacterial small subunit ribosomal RNA", at positions 337 to 623 of the family's 1533-position model. The record is from RNAcentral.